Long non-coding RNA from Gallus gallus (chicken), 571 nucleotides. The record is from Ensembl. Lineage: Eukaryota; Metazoa; Chordata; Aves; Galliformes; Phasianidae.
CAUGAUACCUCUGUGUGACUCCAGGCAUGAGUGAAGGUCAGAACAAAGAAAAUGACUAAGAGCAAAGCUACAUCUGCACAUUUCAUCAUUCUCCGUAUCUCUGAAUAAAACUGCUUUGAAGUGCUACCCUAAGGACUACAUUCAAAGAUACUGAAAGGCUGAUCUCAGGUCUCCGGAGUCUUCUGUUCUCCAGGCUGAACAUCCCCAAUUUACUUUGCUUUAUCACCAAACCUACUGAUUCUUGUGAGGAUCAGAGUUAGUUUAAUUCCUCUUAAAUUCAGUCUUGAAAUAAGUUAUUCCAUAUGCUGAAUAAUGUAUUAGUGCUGAAUAAUGUAUUAGUAUGAAGGCUGCUCAAGAAGCUCUGUAAAUGCACCCUGUUUGAAACUGCAUGUGACUAUACACUGUAAGAAGCUGAAGUACUAGAUGCAGUUCAUGGAAAAAACAAAGCAACUAAUCAUUUAUCAAGCCACAUGCAGCAAGGUGUAUUAUUGCAACAACAUAAUUUCAGUGCCAAAUGCAAUUUUCUUAAAAAAAAAAAAUAAAAAAAAAAAUCUGUAUAUAUGUGAUUAUG